This 253-nucleotide ribosomal RNA is filed under the name uncultured bacterium. RNAcentral's name for it is "partial 16S ribosomal RNA". It matches the Rfam family "Bacterial small subunit ribosomal RNA", at positions 524 to 776 of the family's 1533-position model. The record is from RNAcentral.
AACGUAGGACACAAGCGUUAUCCGGAGUUACUGGGCGUAAAGGGCGUGUAGGCGGCCAGAUAGGUCCGUUGUGAAAACUGGAGGCUUAACCUCCAGCUGUCGAUGGAAACCAUCUGGCUAGAGUCCGGAAGAGGAGAGUGGAAUUCCUGGUGUAGCGGUGAAAUGCGCAGAUAUCAGGAAGAACACCCGUGGCGAAGGCGGCUCUCUGGGACGGUACUGACGCUGAGACGCGAAAGCGUGGGGAGCGAACAGG